RNAcentral lists this non-coding RNA (47 nucleotides) under Pseudopedinella elastica. Lineage: Eukaryota; Dictyochophyceae; Pedinellales. The record is from RNAcentral.
UCUUCUUCUUCUUUUUCUUCUUCUUUUUCUUCUUCUUUUUCUUUUUA